AACGAACGCUGGCGGCAUGCCUAACACAUGCAAGUCGAACGAGACCUUCGGGUCUAGUGGCGCACGGGUGCGUAACGCGUGGAACCUGCCCUUAGGUUCGGAAUAACUCCCCGAAAGGGGUGCUAAUACCGGAUAAUGUCUUCGGACCAAAGAUUUAUCGCCUUUGGAUGGGCCCGCGUUGGAUUAGCUAGUUGGUAGGGUAAAAGCCUACCAAGGCGACGAUCCAUAGCUGGUCUGAGAGGAUGAUCAGCCACACUGGGACUGAGACACGGCCCAGACUCCUACGGGAGGCAGCAGUGGGGAAUAUUGGACAAUGGGCGAAAGCCUGAUCCAGCAAUGCCGCGUGAGUGAUGAAGGCCUUAGGGUUGUAAAGCUCUUUUACCCGGGAUGAUAAUGACAGUACCGGGAGAAUAAGCUCCGGCUAACUCCGUG
Molecule: ribosomal RNA, 432 nt
Filed under: uncultured bacterium
Lineage: Bacteria
Description: partial 16S ribosomal RNA
Rfam family: Bacterial small subunit ribosomal RNA
Source: RNAcentral